CCUGUAGUGCCAUGGAUAGCACGUUGGACUUCUAAUCCAAAGGUCGUGGGUUCGAAUCCCAACUGUGAGGA
Molecule: transfer RNA, 71 nt
Filed under: Trichonephila clavata
Lineage: Eukaryota; Metazoa; Arthropoda; Arachnida; Araneae; Nephilidae
Description: tRNA-Arg
Rfam family: tRNA
About the family: Transfer RNA (tRNA) molecules are approximately 80 nucleotides in length. Their secondary structure includes four short double-helical elements and three loops (D, anti-codon, and T loops).
Source: RNAcentral